CAGUCGCCGCGGGAAAACGAAGGGGGCUAGCGUUGUUCGGAUUUACUGGGCGUAAAGCGCACGUAGGCGGACUUUUAAGUCAGGGGUGAAAUCCCGGGGCUCAACCCCGGAACUGCCUUUGACACUGGAAGUCUUGAGUAUGGUAGAGGUGAGUGGAAUUCCGAGUGUAGAGGUGAAAUUCGUAGAUAUUCGGAGGAACACCAGUGGCGAAGGCGGCUCACUGGACCAUUACUGACGCUGAGGUGCGAAAGCGUGGGGAGCAAACAGGAUUAGAUACCCCGGUAGUCCCUGUCUCUUAUAC
Molecule: ribosomal RNA, 301 nt
Filed under: uncultured bacterium
Lineage: Bacteria
Description: partial 16S ribosomal RNA
Rfam family: Bacterial small subunit ribosomal RNA
Source: RNAcentral